CUGAGCUCCAUCCUUACAGCCCUAAGACUUCCGGGGACACAGCUGACCCCAGAAAUGAGGUGGCUGGAAUUGGGGUUGGGGCUGGGGCUGGCUAGGAAUUU
This is a long non-coding RNA of Octodon degus (degu), 101 nucleotides long. RefSeq lists it as uncharacterized. The transcript has 4 exons. The record is from RefSeq and is a predicted model, not a curated record. Lineage: Eukaryota; Metazoa; Chordata; Mammalia; Rodentia; Octodontidae.